UACGUAGGGGGCUAGCGUUGUCCGGAAUUAUUGGGCGUAAAGAGCGUGUAGGCGGUCCGGUAAGUCAGCUGUGAAAGUCAAGGGCUCAACCCUUGAAUGCCGGUUGAUACUGUCGGGCUAGAGUCCGGAAGAGGCGAGUGGAAUUCCCGGUGUAGAGGUGAAAUGCGCAGAUAUCGGGAGGAACACCAAUGGCGAAGGCAGCUCGCUGGGACGGUACUGACGCUGAGACGCGAAAGCGUGGGGAGCAAACAGG
This 253-nucleotide ribosomal RNA is filed under the name uncultured bacterium. RNAcentral's name for it is "partial 16S ribosomal RNA". It matches the Rfam family "Bacterial small subunit ribosomal RNA", at positions 524 to 776 of the family's 1533-position model. The record is from RNAcentral.